AGCAUAUCGACGAUUUGUGCGAUGGAUAUGGCAAUGUUUGGGGAAAAACAACAGGAAGAUCUUGCCAUCAUGUGUAGUAACAAAGAUUAGAACUGCAUUUCCAUCUCAGCAAUACUGUGGGUUUAGGUAUCCAACGGGAAUGUCCUAGAUAUGGCGCUCCACAAGUUCUGACUUUGGGACAUGUUGGUACGAGGAUGCAAUUGAAGCAGGACAGUUCACCAUGGCAGCCUCACGACUCUUUCUGGACUCACUCUUGAUCCCGGCUGGAGUUUUCAUUGAAGUGCAGGGCUGCAAUGUAUAGUCUGGAAAAAAGAAGAACAGUGGAAUUCAUGAAUUAUG
Molecule: long non-coding RNA, 339 nt
Organism: Saccostrea echinata
Lineage: Eukaryota; Metazoa; Mollusca; Bivalvia; Ostreida; Ostreidae
Exons: 3
Source: RefSeq, a predicted model, not a curated record